AGAAAAGUCAAUAUAUGAGUCCAAAAUCUAAUAGUAGCCCAAUGGUCAUAACACUAGGUUAUCACAAUUUGUCUGAUGGCUUUAAUACUCAUUCAAUUUAUUUAAUAAUAUUGUUUAUUAUUUUCAGAGAUUCCAAUGCAUCGUUUCCCAGAUGCUGUCAAAUUUCCUGAGCAGUUUAAAACUUGGGUCAGUAUUGUUGGUGGAAACCCUGAAAUAUCUCAUUUUGAAUAUUAUAAGAAGAAGUGAAUUUGUGAUAUACACUUUUCUGACAGACACAGAAAUCGUAAUCAACGGCUAAGCACAUUGGCAGUUCCUAUGCUUCAUCUGCCUGGACAACUACAGAGUCAAGUAAUCUUAGGACAAGCUUCAUUCACACAACAUUUACUGCCUACAAUAAUACAGCAAGACUGUUCAGAGCCAUAUGUGAGCAACUUUAUUUUAGAAAAAGCAUCAACUUCAACAACAUUCCUACCUGUAGCUGCAGAUGCAUCUCAACAAUUUAUUUCAGCAAGGUGCUUGAUGCUGGAACAUAAUUAUAGUUUUAUUAACAAGCCUAAAGGAACAGCUGGAAAGGAUCUAAUGGCUCCACAGUGCACAAAGAUCAAGCAUCUUCAAGCAGAAAUAUUGCGCUUGCAAAA
Long non-coding RNA from Leptidea sinapis, 638 nucleotides. RefSeq lists it as uncharacterized. Lineage: Eukaryota; Metazoa; Arthropoda; Insecta; Lepidoptera; Pieridae. The transcript has 5 exons. The record is from RefSeq and is a predicted model, not a curated record.